This 414-nucleotide ribosomal RNA is filed under the name uncultured bacterium. Its description in RNAcentral is "bacterial SSU rRNA". It matches the Rfam family "Bacterial small subunit ribosomal RNA", at positions 353 to 794 of the family's 1533-position model. The record is from RNAcentral.
GGACGGAAUAAUUCCGCAAUGGGCGAAGACCUGACGGAGCGACGCCGCGUGCAGGAUGAAGCGGCUCUGCGUGUAGACUGCUGUCAGGGUGUAGUCACACCCAAAGGAAGGGCCUGCUAAUCUCGUGCCAGCAGCAGCGGUAAUACGAGAGGCCCGAGCGUUAAUCGGAAUCACUGGGCUUAAAGGGUGCGUAGGCGGGUCCGUAAGUGUCCUGUGAAAUCCCUCGUCUCAAGCGAGGAACUGCGGGGCAUACUGCGGGUCUUGAGGCUGGUAGGGGUCGUCGGAACGCUAGGUGGAGCGGUGAAAUGCGUAGAUAUCUAGCGGAACGCCAAUGGUGAAGACAGACGACUGGGCCAGACCUGACGCUGAGGCACGAAAGCGUGGGGAGCAAACAGGAUUAGAUACCCUAGUAGU